This is an RNA transcript of Cygnus olor (mute swan), 7700 nucleotides long. It is a transcript of the gene named myosin IIIB, with no coding region annotated. Lineage: Eukaryota; Metazoa; Chordata; Aves; Anseriformes; Anatidae. The transcript has 41 exons. The record is from RefSeq and is a predicted model, not a curated record.
CGGAUGGGGCGGCGGGAACGAGAAUCACGCCUCAGCGUAGCCAGGCUUCGAAAUGGCGGCCGCCAUUUGCUCUGCAGUGCGCUGGCGUUACGAGUCGGGCUGGGGCUGUCACCUCUCUGAGAGGUAAAUUCCUGUGAUCUAAUCCAAGCAAAUACAGGAGAGGAGAAAGUGUGAUGAGGGGAGAGCCUAAGGAUUAGCAAGAUAAAAGAAGGGUGAAAAAAAAAAACUCAUACAGACCCCAAGCAAACUGGACAGGUUUAUUGCUCAGAGGGACAGCACCUUUUGCCGAGUCUAGCAUAUGGCCACCAGGAGCUAUGUCAGCAUCUGAGAACUCAGCAAGUCCUGAAGUAAACUGGAUUAGGAGGCCAUUGUAUGGAUUAUUUCACUAUAACUCCAAUAUGAUUGGACUAGAAUCAUUAGCUGAUCCCUCAGAUACCUGGGAAAUUAUAGAGACUAUUGGAAAAGGCACGUAUGGUAAAGUCUAUAAGGUUGCCAAUAAGAAAGAUGGGAGUCUGGCAGCAGUAAAGAUUCUGGAUCCUAUUAGUGAUGUAGAUGAAGAAAUUGAAGCAGAAUAUAAUAUCUUGCAGUUUCUUCCUAACCAUCCUAACGUUGUUAGAUUUUAUGGGAUGUUUUACAAAGCAGAUCAGUAUGUGGGAGGACAGCUCUGGCUAGUACUUGAGCUCUGCAAUGGAGGUUCUGUCACAGAGCUUGUCAAAGGUCUGCUGAAGUGUGGCCAACGACUGGAUGAAGCUAUAAUUUCAUACAUUUUAUAUGGUGCUCUCUUGGGCCUUCAGCAUUUGCACAAUAACCGGAUCAUUCAUCGUGAUGUCAAAGGGAACAACAUUCUUCUGACAACAGAAGGUGGAGUCAAGCUCGUUGACUUUGGUGUUUCAGCCCAGCUCACCAGCACACGGCUGCGUAGAAACACUUCAGUGGGAACACCCUUUUGGAUGGCACCUGAGGUCAUUGCUUGUGAACAGCAGUAUGAUUACUCAUAUGAUGCUCGAUGUGACGUAUGGUCCUUGGGAAUAACAGCUAUUGAGCUGGGGGAUGGAGACCCUCCUUUAUUUGACAUGCAUCCGGUGAAAACCCUUUUUAAAAUUCCAAGAAAUCCUCCUCCUACUUUGCUACAUCCUGAAAAAUGGUGCAGAGGAUUCAAUCAUUUCAUUUCACAGUGUCUUAUCAAGGAUUUUGAAAAGCGUCCUUCAGUCACCCACCUUUUGGAGCACCCGUUUAUUAAACAAGUACACGGUAAAGAUAUGUCUCUGCAAAAACAGCUGGCUGAACUCAUCCAAGAACAGCAGCGGCUAGGCUUCGUAGCCAAAACGAGGCAUGAACGAAUACAUACUAGAAGACCUUACUGUGUGGAUGGAGCUGACAAGUACUCUCUGGAUGAUGAUCUGGUAAAUCUAGAAGUUCUAGAUGAGGAUACAAUUAUCCAUCAGCUGCAGAAACGCUAUGCUGACUUACAAAUUUAUACUUAUGUGGGAGACAUUUUAAUAGCCUUAAACCCCUUCCAGAAUCUCAGCAUUUACUCUCCACAGUUCUCCAAGCUUUAUCAUGGUGUGAAGCGUUCAUCCAAUCCCCCCCACAUAUUUGCCUCUGCAGAUGCUGCCUACCAAAGUAUGGUUACGUUCAGCAAAGAUCAGUGCAUUAUCAUCAGUGGGGAAAGUGGUGCUGGAAAGACAGAAAGUGCCCAUCUGAUCGUCCAACAUUUGACCUUCUUGGGAAAGGCCAAUAACCGUGCUUUGCGUGAGAAAAUUCUUCAGGUGAAUCCUCUGGUUGAAGCAUUUGGGAAUGCUUGCACUGCCAUCAAUGACAACUCAAGUCGCUUCGGAAAAUAUCUGGAAAUGAUGUUUACGCCCACAGGAGCUGUAAUGGGGGCAAAGAUUUCUGAGUAUCUACUUGAAAAAUCAAGGGUCAUAAAACAGGCUGUGGGAGAGAAAAAUUUCCAUAUAUUUUAUUAUAUUUAUGCUGGCCUAUAUCAUCAGAAGAAACUUUCUGAAUAUAGACUUCCUGAAAAAAGGCCUCCUAGAUAUAUUGAUAAUGAAACUGGAAGAGUAAUGCAUGAUAUUGUUACCAAGGAUUCCUAUGGAAGGCAAUUUGAAGCAAUUCAGCAUUGCUUUAGAAUUAUAGGAUUCACUGAUGAGGAAGUGUACUCAGUGUACAGAAUUCUGACUGGAAUCCUAAAUACUGGAAAUAUUGAGUUUGCUGCCAUUUCUUCGCAACACCAAACAGAUAAAAGUGAGGUUCCCAACCCAGAAGCCUUAGAUAAUGCUGCUGCACUGCUAAGUAUUGGGUCAGAAGAACUUCAAGAGGCCCUAACAUCCCACUGUGUUGUAACACGUGGGGAAACUAUUAUUCGAACAAACACUGUGGACAAAGCAGCUGAUGUGCGAGAUGCCAUGUCUAAAGCACUUUAUGGCCGGCUCUUCAGCUGGAUUGUAAAUCGUAUUAAUACACUGCUUCAGCCAGAUAAAAAUAUAUGCAAUGCUGAAAAUGGGAUGAAUGUUGGGAUACUAGAUAUAUUUGGAUUUGAGAACUUUGCAAGAAAUUCCUUUGAACAGCUGUGCAUAAAUAUUGCUAAUGAGCAGAUCCAGUUUUAUUUCAAUCAACAUAUCUUUGCACUUGAGCAAAUGGAAUAUCAGAGUGAGGGAAUCGAUGCUGCUGCAGUGGAGUAUGAGGACAACCGUCCGCUUCUAGAUAUGUUCCUCCAGAAACCCAUGGGUCUUCUUUCUCUACUAGAUGAAGAAAGUCGAUUUCCUCAGGCAACAGACCUAACGUUAGUUGAUAAAUUUGAGGAUAACUUACGAUGCAAAUACUUCUGGAGACCAAAAGGAGUGGAACUGUCAUUUGGUAUUCAGCACUAUGCUGGGAAGGUAUUGUAUGAUGCCUGUGCAUUUCUCGAGAAGAACAGAGACACUCUUCCUGCUGACAUAGUGGUGGUGUUGCGAACUUCAGAGAACAAACUUCUUCAGCAGCUCUUCUCUAGUCCAUUAACAAAAACAGGUAACUUGGCACAGGCAAGAGCCAGAGUGACAGCAGCAUCUAGGUCUUUGCCUUCACAGCUUAGUGCUGGGCGUAUCAAGUCUCCUAAAUGUCUCCUGAAGGUUGACACAAUGGAGGUUAUGCGACACCCUGAGGAAACAACUAACAUGAAGCGACAAACUAUGGCUUCCUAUUUUAGGUAUUCCCUGAUGGAUCUUUUAUCCAAAAUGGUUGUUGGACAACCUCACUUUAUCCGCUGCAUUAAACCUAAUGAUGAUCGAGAAGCACUAACAUUUUCUCAUGAGAGAGUUCUACUGCAGCUACGAUAUACUGGAAUUCUGGAAACUGUCAAAAUACGUCAAAAAGGAUAUUCUCAUCGCAUCCUUUUCGAAGAGUUUGUGAAAAGGUAUUACUACCUUGCUUUCAAGGCACAUGAGACUCCCCUUGGUAGCAGAGAAAACUGUCUUGCCAUUUUGGAGAAAUCUAAAUUAGAAAACUGGAUUCUUGGGAAAACCAAGGUUUUUCUAAAGUAUUACCACAUAGAACAGUUAAAUUUGUUCCUGCGAGAAGUUAUAGGGAGAGUGGUGGUCAUGCAAGCCUAUAUCAAGGGAUGGCUUGGAGCAAGGAGGUACAAGAAAGUCAAAGAGAAAAGAGAAAAUAGUGCUGUUACCAUACAGUCAGCCUGGAGAGGAUAUGAAGCUCGCAGGAAGUACAAGGAAAUAAGGAACAGAAGAACUGAUGCUGCUAUACAUAUUCAAGCAGCUUUCAGGGGAUAUAUUGUUCGUAAAAACUACCCAAGACUGAAAAACAGCACUGGCUGUGUAGCAGAUCCUCAGCAUAUGAGCAGCUGCUCUACCUCUGAUUUUGGCUGUGAAGAGCACUGGCAGCAAACCAAUAAUCAGUCUUCUCCUGUGGUGCCUGAUUUUCUUGACAAACAAACAAAAAAGAAGGAUUUGAAUGAGAUUUCUGCUUCUCCGUUUAUUGUAAAAAAAUCAUUCAAAAUGAAUGACUCACAGCCAAUUAACCAAUCCCAGUCAGUUGCAGACCAUCAGUUGUCACGUCCCUUGAGAUUCUCUAAAAAAGGAGGUUCAGAAAACUGUCUUGAACAGAAGCUGAGAACACCUCGUCGACGAUGUCAGCAGCCCAAAAUGCUGAAUAGCCCUGAGGACAACAUGUACUAUAACCAGUUAAAUGGAACUCUAGAAUAUCAAGGGAGCAAGAGGAAGCCAAGAAAACUUGGUCAAAUAAAAGUGCUUGAUGGAGAGGAUGAGUAUUACAAAUCACUGUCAGCUGUUGAAUCAAUCCCUGAAGAUGACAGCUGUCUCAGUUCCCCAUCUCCUUCUUCUGCAAGGGGAAUGUCUUUUGCUCAAAGCUGAACUUCACUCACUUUUUUGACUAAUACUGCAUGCAGCAACAAUAAUGCAACAGACUGUGAUAAAAUGGGAUGUGAUCUAACAGGACAUGACCGAUGGGACGAGUGCAAAACACUGGGUCUGCUGGUAGUGCUGUGCAGUAGUUCAGCUGGAAAUUCCCAAUGAUUUUUAGAGUGUACCUGCAAAUUAUGAAGAAAAUAGGAGGCAAAGUGCAAAAGGGACAGACACCUUGGACUCCUUUUGCAACAGAAAAUCCGAAGAAGACUUCCAUGAUGUGAGCAUGCCAGCUAUGUCCUAAAUAAUGCCUGUAAGACUGAGGGAAUCAACCAAACACAGAUCAACAAGGAGCUGGUAAGGGAAAAAACUAAGUAUCUCAAAACUCGACUGAUGUAGAAAAUAUGGUUGUCUGGUGGUCCCUUAUGUAUUUGUAGAGCAUCAGAUUCUUGAUAGCUAGCAAACAAAGUGAUGGCCACAAAACUAUUCACUUUUUAAAAUCAAAAUCUGAAAUUUGUUACACACAAUGCUGCAACCGCAGUAGGUGCUGGAGAUAUCCACGUGCUGUAGAGCUACAUUCACUGUUUCAUCAUACAUGGGAGUAGAAGGAUUCACUGGGAAAGGUUGGUGGAACACUGACUAAGGUGAGAAGAAAGCUAUGGUACAGGGAGGGUGGAGGAAAAUUAGCUCUUCUGACUCCUGCCACAUAUGUGUGCUCAAGGAAAUAUGGAUGGUAGCAUUCCUGAAUUCAGGGGUUGUAUCGGUAGUAAAUCUUAAGGUCUUUCUUCAGCACAGCUUUUCACCUCUAAAGUGGUAUUUUGAUGACUGGCAAGUGAACUAGAGCCUUGGACAGAAUCCUGAAGUGAAGAUGAAAUAUUUGCCAAAGCAGAGAAGGAUAGGCUGUAAAAGUUUAGCAAGUAUCUGGUUGUUUCUGCUCAGUAUGUUCAGUGUUUAGAACUGUGGAGGCACACUUGUCUGUUCAGUACAGCCCACAUAAUAUGUGUUUUAUCUUCAUAAAGCAAAGGUUUUAGGCUCUGUUUUUCAGUUACCAUCUGCUCUAAACACUGUCCCUAGGCACAUUAGAAAUAUAUAUGUUGUGGGCAUGUUGGCUUAUCACUGUGCUUGCAUAGGCUGCGUGUUUCUUAUCUGGUCUCUACUCCUCAGCUAUCUUUCCCACAGAAAGAUUGAUAUCUGCUUAUAAUUCCAAGUUGCUGGGAGAGUGUACAAGUGUAGGAGAGACUGACAUGAAAUUGUGGGAUGGAAGGGAUUUAUGAAAGAGUGUGGAUUUUGCAAGGGAAUGAUGUGGGACAUCUUAAUAAUAUGGUCCCACGAUAUGUGCCUCUGCUUCUCAGUUGGGCUACUCAGUUCAACUCUUUGCUCUUCAGUAAGAUCAGUAUGUGGUGUGGGACAAGGGGUGUUGUCUCCUGUUGUUUCCUUUAGUAGGAACAGAAUAACAGCGUUCUACUGCUUUAUAGAGGAGUUGUGAAGAUAAAUGUGCUUAGGACUGCAGUGACAAGUACCACCGACACACUGACUAAAGCUCCUCCCAAUACGCUUGCUGCACAAUUUGACCCUCUUACUCAGGUCUGUACCAAGAUUUGGUCACUGAUCCAAUUGCCAUAUUUUCCCCCACCUCCCCAGCUGCACUCCUGUGAUACAGAAAAAUGUCCUGAAUUGUGCCCAUUACUUUCAUACUCCUCCCUGUCCCCACAACACACCUGGGUGACAUACCCUGUCCCUGGUAAGCUUGGCUGACUUACACAAAGAUGAAGAAAGGUGGCUAUGAAAAAUACUUGUGCUACUGGCUGGUGGCAGGUGAGAACAGGAAAGUGGAGACAAGUUCCCACCCCUUAUCUAUUGUUCCAUCCCCUAUCUGUUGAGUAUGCGUAAAUGGGUUAAGUGUAAGAAGCUGUAUAUGCCUUUGUAGGGACUUCUGAGUGAAAUGUUAUUUUAGCCAAAAAGAACACCCCACAGAGAUGAAAACAGCUUCAAUCUAUCAUUCAGAGCAUUCCAGUCAUUCGUCUUGGUAUUCUCAUUAGCAGUGACCCCAGCAUCAGCAUACAUGAGGCCAUGCUCCUUGUAGCUUCUUCCAGCCUCAGCACUGAAGUGGUGCAUGCUCUGAGGUUACUUUUUCUGCCUCCCCACCUAAAGUGAUAGCCUUUUGCCUCUGCCCCCUCCCAAAGUGCUGGCUUGCACAGGAGAAGGAGAUCAAACAUACCCACCCUGUAACACACACAAACAAGAGCUGAGACCCUGGCCAACCAAGGGGCUGCAGGAAUGUCAGCAGAUAAAGUUGGGCUGUAAUGUAACAAGAAAGUCCUGGUCUCCAGGCUGCUACCUCCUGGCUCCAUGCAUCAGUGUUGAUUCAGGGUCUGUGUAGCUGUGUUUCUGUUUCCUGCAUCCCUCCUCAAGUGCUUUCCAGUUUUUGAUGCUUUACUUAAAGCAGUGCAAGUAGCAAAUAAACAGUAGUGAAGCAUAUACCAAAGGAAAGAACAAAGGUAACAAAAUCAUGCUAUUUGUAAGUAAGGAUAAGAAAAUACUGAUCAGCUGAGGCGUGCCUGACUGGUGGAGCAACAGUAAACAGAGGAAGUGAUUAGUUUUAUAGACAAUGUGAUCAAAAUCCCUGCGAGGGCUAUAAAAUAGAGAGCAGCAACUGAAUUGAUGACCAAUGAGGCAUAUGGUAUCUAAAUUAACAGAGAGCGUAGAAUCUCCAGGAGGAGGUCAUCGGGUAUCAGAAAGCUGAGGCAGAAGGUUCCUUUUGUCUCUUUACAUUAAAUUCCUGAGAUAAGGUAAUGCUAUACUAAUAUGGAAAACUAGAUAAAAUUGGGAAAUGCAAUGCUUUUUCUUGAGCCUUUGCUGGAGAGUUUAAUGGAUAAGGCUAUGCAUAUUGCUAGAACUAUUUUUAUCUUUUCAGGGAGGUUGGGGAGAACUACUUCUAACCUCUCCGUGUGUAUUUCUAAAUCUUGAUUUAAGAGGGAUUUGAUUACUCCUGUUCUCUUAUAACACUGUUUAACUUCUAGAAUGCAAAUGAUCUUAUCCUUAAUUUAGAGCCAAGUAAAUGAGAACAGGCAGGAGAAUUCAUAAAUCAACUGAUAGCUAUAUCUCAUUAAAGAGAAUCAUUGGCACUGUAGAAUAGCUUCUUUCUGAAUCACUCCGGUGCCAAGUAUACUUUGUGUGUGUAGCAGUGGAAGUGAAAAAUGUAGCAAAUCAGGAGCCCGGUUCAGUUUUUAUGGGCAGCUAUUCUACUAACUUCUGUAACAAUUUUGACAGGAGAAGAACGUGAUUGUUCAACCCCGUACUCUGGUGCAAUUGAUGAGGAUCACAGCAUUUUAUAAUGUUAAUCUG